Molecule: long non-coding RNA, 485 nt
Filed under: Salvia miltiorrhiza (redroot sage)
Lineage: Eukaryota; Viridiplantae; Streptophyta; Magnoliopsida; Lamiales; Lamiaceae
Description: long non-coding RNA (SMIL_LNC011716)
Source: RNAcentral
GAAAACCUCCGAUAUGACACCGGAGCAGCUAGAAAUCCACAUGGAACGGGUGGCGGCGAUUCUAGCUCGGCAAAUGGGUGGUGGAAAUUAGCUAGUUUUUUUUAUGUAAUUUUUCAUUAUGUUUUUAAUUUUUUUUAUGUAAUUUUUAGAUUUUUUUUAAUUAAUGACAUUUUAAUUUGAAGUAAUUGUGAUAUUUACAUUGGUGCAAUUUAAAUUGAAUGACGACCGCCUCCCUCCAUCUCACUGCCCAACCGUCUCCCUCCACCCUGGCGCGACGCGGCACUGGUUAUCCUCCUCCUGCAGGCGCGGCACUAGUUCAUAUUUAAUUUUUUUUUUCUACUUUUUCCUUUUUCACUCUUUCUUUUUUUUUAAAAAAAAAAGGAAUAGACACACAUUUUUUUUCUUCAUUUUUCGGUAACUCUUUCCUUCAUAAAAUAUGGAAUAUUAUCUUAAAUGAAAGAUUUGAAAAUACUUUUAAUUCAACA